UACGUAGGCAGCGAGCGUUGUUCGGAGUUACUGGGCGUAAAGGGUGUGUAGGCGGUUGUUUAAGUUUGGUGUGAAAUCUCCCGGCUCAACUGGGAGGGUGCGCCGAAUACUGAAUGACUUCGAGCACGGGAGAGGUGAGUGGAAUUCCUGGUGUAGCGGUGAAAUGCGUAGAUAUCAGGAGGAACACCGGUGGUGUAGACGGCUCACUGGACCGUAACUGACGCUGAGACACGAAAGCGUGGGUAGCAAACAGG
RNAcentral lists this ribosomal RNA (254 nucleotides) under uncultured bacterium. Its description in RNAcentral is "partial 16S ribosomal RNA". It matches the Rfam family "Bacterial small subunit ribosomal RNA", at positions 524 to 776 of the family's 1533-position model. The record is from RNAcentral.